Molecule: ribosomal RNA, 692 nt
Filed under: Staphylococcus sp. EECC-412
Lineage: Bacteria; Bacillati; Bacillota; Bacilli; Caryophanales; Staphylococcaceae
Description: bacterial SSU rRNA
Rfam family: Bacterial small subunit ribosomal RNA
Source: RNAcentral
UACAUAUACGGCGGACGGGUGAGUAAUGCUUAGGAAUCUGCCUAUUAGUGGGGGACAACAUUCCGAAAGGAAUGCUAAUACCGCAUACGCCCUACGGGGGAAAGCAGGGGAUCUUCGGACCUUGCGCUAAUAGAUGAGCCUAAGUCAGAUUAGCUAGUUGGUGGGGUAAAGGCCUACCAAGGCGACGAUCUGUAGCGGGUCUGAGAGGAUGAUCCGCCACACUGGGACUGAGACACGGCCCAGACUCCUACGGGAGGCAGCAGUGGGGAAUAUUGGACAAUGGGCGAAAGCCUGAUCCAGCCAUGCCGCGUGUGUGAAGAAGGCCUUUUGGUUGUAAAGCACUUUAAGCGAGGAGGAGGCUACUUGGAUUAAUACUCUAGGAUAGUGGACGUUACUCGCAGAAUAAGCACCGGCUAACUCUGUGCCAGCAGCCGCGGUAAUACAGAGGGUGCGAGCGUUAAUCGGAUUUACUGGGCGUAAAGCGUGCGUAGGCGGCUUUUUAAGUCGGAUGUGAAAUCCCUGAGCUUAACUUAGGAAUUGCAUUCGAUACUGGGAAGCUAGAGUAUGGGAGAGGAUGGUAGAAUUCCAGGUGUAGCGGUGAAAUGCGUAGAGAUCUGGAGGAAUACCGAUGGCGAAGGCAGCCAUCUGGCCUAAUACUGACGCUGAGGUACGAAAGCAUGGGGAGCAAACAG